ACUGGGUUUAAUACCGCAUACGCUCUUCGGAGUAAAGCCGGCUUUUAGCUGGUGCUUUGAGAUAGGCUCGCGUCCUAUCAGCUAGUUGGUUAGGUAAAGGCUCACCAAGGCGACGACAGGUAGUUGGUCUGAGAGGACGACCAGCAACACUGGAACUGAGACACGGUUCAGACAGCUACGGGUGGCAGCUGUCGAGAAUCAUUCACAAUGGGGGCAACCCUGAUGGUGCAACGCCGCGUGGAGGAUGAAGGCCCUAGGGUCGUAAACUCCUGUCAUAAUAGAGUAAGACAUAGUCGUUAAUAGCUUCUAUGUUUGAUAGU
RNAcentral lists this ribosomal RNA (320 nucleotides) under uncultured bacterium. Its description in RNAcentral is "bacterial SSU rRNA". It matches the Rfam family "Bacterial small subunit ribosomal RNA", at positions 156 to 476 of the family's 1533-position model. The record is from RNAcentral.